CAGCUGGAGGAAAAAAAAAAAAAAACCAAAACCCAGACGCUGUGGUGGUUAGUCAUAAUAAGCAAGGCAAGCGUGAGGGGGAGAAGAGAGCUCAGCUUUGACGUCAGGCAGCCCUGAGUUGGAAGGACACAGGCACUGUUGCCUGCUUGGAGGUGUGACCUUGGGCCAGCUGCUUGGCCUCUUCAGGUCUCAGUUUCUGGCUCUGUUAAAUGGGGAUGAUAAUACUGACCUUCCAGAAUUUCUCCGUGGUUUUGGUAAGGUGACCUAGCUCGGUGCCUGCAUAAACAUAUUCUGUUUUGGGGAAUAAUUUCUGCCACACUGCUAUUUUACAGAGAAAGACUAUUAAUCCCAUCUUGCAGAGAACAUUUAGACAUUGAAUAGGAGGUUGUCUCCCAUAAGCGCUGGGCAGCAGAGCCAGGCCUCUUCCUACAAGGCAGAGGUGUCCAGCUGCCACCAGUUCCCCCCACCUGUCAGCUCCGACCACACUCACCCAGUAGUGUUCUUGGACCCAGGGAAGGACUCAUUUUUCAUUUUCCAGGAACCCUUCUCUUCCCAUUUCCUUUCCCAAGGAGCCUUGCCCUUGGAUUCAGCUAGACUUGAGCACAUUACCUCUCACAUGUUUCCUUACGUGUCCCCUUCUCAUUGGAAUGUCCCUCAGUUUGGACUAAUGGGCUCAUUAACAACAGCCAGCAAUUUAAAUUUCCUUUCUGUAAGAAUAAAGCUGUCCCUUUCCCUA
Molecule: long non-coding RNA, 736 nt
Organism: Cebus imitator (Panamanian white-faced capuchin)
Lineage: Eukaryota; Metazoa; Chordata; Mammalia; Primates; Cebidae
Exons: 2
Source: RefSeq, a predicted model, not a curated record